UCAGGCUUUUGCUGACAAUGGAGGUGUUUGUGGUAACAGAAGGAAGUAACCCUGGACAAUCUUCUCCAGGAAGCCAUCACAAAUCUCCUUUUGGCGCUCUUCAUGCUCUUUUUUUCAGUGGACUCCUAAACUUCGGGAAUGGUGAGCAAUGACCUGAUUGAAGAACUCCCUCUAGCAACUCUUGAAGUACAGGUGAGCUGGCACUGAAGCUACAAGACAAUGUCUUUUCCACUAUUCCCUUUCCUUUCCACAAGCAGAGGAGUCUUUUCCCCUGGCCACCACUGCCCAAGGCUUUCAGUGAGUACUACCUGGCUAUUUGAUGUUCAGUCAGUGUCCAAGGGCUCUUCAGUCAGCAUGAGGUGAAUAUUGCCAGGACUGUGGACUCCCCUGUGGCUCAGGGCAUGUUUAGAAAUGCCAUCUAAAAACCAAGGCCUAGAACUAGGGACCCCAAGAACCCAGCUGGUACUCUGCCUCACUGUGGCUGAGUUGGUACCUAAUCA
This is a non-coding RNA of Callithrix jacchus (white-tufted-ear marmoset), 500 nucleotides long. The record is from RefSeq and is a predicted model, not a curated record. NCBI's taxonomy places the organism in Eukaryota, Metazoa, Chordata, Mammalia, Primates, Cebidae.